UACGGAGGGUGCAAGCGUUAUCCGGAUUCACUGGGUUUAAAGGGUGCGUAGGUGGGCAGUUAAGUCAGUGGUGAAAUCUCCGGGCUUAACCCGGAAACUGCCAUUGAUACUAUCUGUCUUGAAUAUCGUGGAGGUAAGCGGAAUAUGUCAUGUAGCGGUGAAAUGCUUAGAUAUGACAUAGAACACCAAUUGCGAAGGCAGCUUGCUACAGGAAUAUUGACACUGAGGCACGAAAGCGUGGGGAUCAAACAGG
Molecule: ribosomal RNA, 253 nt
Filed under: uncultured bacterium
Lineage: Bacteria
Description: partial 16S ribosomal RNA
Rfam family: Bacterial small subunit ribosomal RNA
Source: RNAcentral